GCCAAUGUUGCUCAGUGAUUAGAGCAUCGGUCCCAAGCACUGAAGGGUCAUGGGUUCAAUUCCCAGUCAAGAGUA
RNAcentral lists this transfer RNA (75 nucleotides) under Myotis lucifugus (little brown bat). It matches the Rfam family "tRNA". From Rfam's summary of the family: Transfer RNA (tRNA) molecules are approximately 80 nucleotides in length. Their secondary structure includes four short double-helical elements and three loops (D, anti-codon, and T loops). Further hydrogen bonds mediate the characteristic L-shaped molecular structure. tRNAs have two regions of fundamental functional importance: the anti-codon, which is responsible for specific mRNA codon recognition, and the 3' end, to which the tRNAs corresponding amino acid is attached (by aminoacyl-tRNA synthetases). tRNAs cope with the degeneracy of the genetic code in two manners: having more than one tRNA (with a specific anti-codon) for a particular amino acid; and 'wobble' base-pairing, i.e. permitting non-standard base-pairing at the 3rd anti-codon position. The record is from Rfam by way of RNAcentral. Lineage: Eukaryota; Metazoa; Chordata; Mammalia; Chiroptera; Vespertilionidae.